CACACACGGAAAUAGGGUAAUUGCGGGAGAAAUCCGUAAUUUUCCGCCGGUGGCAGGUUUUACUGCCUCAUUCCGUGGAGGUUCAACCGGAAAGGAUAAAGAAAUGG
This 107-nucleotide small RNA is filed under the name Ditibartonella apis. RNAcentral describes it as "Bartonella apis rpsB sRNA". It matches the Rfam family "rpsB sRNA". The record is from Rfam by way of RNAcentral. Lineage: Bacteria; Pseudomonadati; Pseudomonadota; Alphaproteobacteria; Hyphomicrobiales; Bartonellaceae.